This 498-nucleotide ribosomal RNA is filed under the name uncultured bacterium. Its description in RNAcentral is "partial 16S ribosomal RNA". It matches the Rfam family "Bacterial small subunit ribosomal RNA", at positions 28 to 507 of the family's 1533-position model. The record is from RNAcentral.
GACGAACGCUGGCGGCGUGCCUAAUACAUGCAAGUCGAACGAGAGCGACCGGUGCUUGCACUGGUCAAUCUAGUGGCGAACGGGUGAGUAACACGUGGGUAACCUGCCCAUCAGAGGGGGAUAACAUCCGGAAACGGAUGCUAAAACCGCAUAGGUCUUCGAGCCGCAUGGCUUGAAGAGGAAAAGAGGCGCAAGCUUCUGCUGAUGGAUGGACCCGCGGUGCAUUAGCUAGUUGGUGAGGUAACGGCUCACCAAGGCCGUGAUGCAUAGCCGACCUGAGAGGGUGAUCGGCCACAUUGGGACUGAGACACGGCCCAAACUCCUACGGGAGGCAGCAGUAGGGAAUCUUCCGCAAUGGACGCAAGUCUGACGGAGCAACGCCGCGUGAGUGAAGAAGGUUUUCGGAUCGUAAAACUCUGUUGUUAGAGAAGAACAAGUGCUAGAGUAACUGUUAGCGCCUUGACGGUAUCUAACCAGAGAGCCACGGCUAACUACGUG